Vidua macroura (Pin-tailed whydah) is the source of this 555-nucleotide long non-coding RNA. RefSeq lists it as uncharacterized. The transcript is spliced from 2 exons. The record is from RefSeq and is a predicted model, not a curated record. Lineage: Eukaryota; Metazoa; Chordata; Aves; Passeriformes; Viduidae.
CUCACACUCCAUGUGAGCUCACACACUGCCCUCUGCACACUGUGUGAACUCACACACUGCCCUCUGCACACUGUGUGAGCUCACACUCUGCCCUCUGUACACUCGGUGUGAGCUCACACACUGCCCCCCUGGAGGCAGCUUCCAUCACCCCAGGAGGGCAGCUUGAUGACCCUUCUCCCCAUCUCCAGAGCACCACCUUGGUGUAUGGGGGAGCCCAAGAUUGUAUGACAACGGGCUGACUGGAACUGCCUCCUCCAAAUGUUCCUGCUGGAAGCGGGACCAGCAGCAGCCAAUGCCUUAGCAAAGCAGCCAAAACAGCACCAAGGGGACAGAUCUACCCAUCCUGCCCUGCCUGGGGCCAGGAAGCAGCAUCCAGUGGGCAGCUCUGCCCAUCAGCACGGUCUCAGCACGGUCUCAGCUUGCUGCUAAAAACCAUCCAACCCCUGGUGGUAAAAUAUCAGAGAAAAAGAGGCACCUGGGCAAGGUGUGGCCUCAGCUCCAGGGAGAGGGAAAAAGAGUGAAAUAAAAUGAGCUCCUGAAUGCCAUGUGACACGA